Long non-coding RNA from Panthera uncia (snow leopard), 893 nucleotides. RefSeq lists it as uncharacterized. Lineage: Eukaryota; Metazoa; Chordata; Mammalia; Carnivora; Felidae. The record is from RefSeq and is a predicted model, not a curated record. The transcript has 4 exons.
CAGCCACUGGCCAUAGGAGGGGAACGUUGGCCAGACUAAUGGCCCAGGAGCAGGAUGACCAGCAGGCCUUAGGGGACUGGGUCAUCCAUCCAUGCAUAGGAGAUGAACCUGGGAGGAACCACAUACUGGGUGGUUGGCAAUGCUGGGACUCAGAGGCCCAGGGCCUGACCUGGACUAGAAAGGCCACCCCCAGGAGGCACUGUCCUGCUGCUCCCCUCUUCCCUGGCAGUGCCUGGCUGUGGUCCUGGCCCACUGGCUGGGGCAAGAAGCCCAGAAUCUCUGCAAACGGCUGCCUGCUGGCCACUCCCCGAUGACAGAUGGCCUUGAGGAGAUACGUAUUAAUAUCCCCACUUUGUAUAUGGGGGAACUGGGACUCGAAGAAAUGAAGAUGCCUAUUUGGGUGAAAUGGAUGAUAAGAGGUGUAAAUAUGGACUGACAUGACAACUGCUUAUCGGAAAUCUGUAACCAGCUCAUGUUGUCCCUCCGCUGCCUGUGGAGACUGUUCUCUCAGUGGCGCUGGAUCUCAACACCACAGCAUCAACCCAGCCCUGAAGCCCAUCAUCUGGGUAUGCCUUGGCAAAGUGGACUGCAGCUUAUUUGUGUGGUCUGAGAGCUAAGAAUGCUGUUGCAAUUUUAAAUGGUUGAAAAAGAAAUCAAAAUAAUAAAAAUAUUUCAUGACACAAGAAAAUUAAAUGAAAUUAAAAUUUUGGUGUCCAUAAGUAGAGUUUUACUGGAGUGCCCACGCCCUUUGCUUCCAUAUUGUCUAUGGCUGCCUUCAUGUCGGCACAGCAGAGGUGAGAGUUGUGACAGAGACCUGCAGUGUCUGCAGAAUUUACUAUCUAGGCCUUGACAGAAAAGGCGUGUCACCCCCCAUUUAGACAGAACUUAACUAG